CUCGCGGCCGAUUAGGUAGUUGGUGAGAUAACAGCCCACCAAGCCGACGAUCGGUAGCCGGACUGAGAGGUUGAACGGCCACAUUGGGACUGAGACACGGCCCAGACUCCUACGGGAGGCAGCAGUGGGGGAUAUUGCACAAUGGAGGAAACUCUGAUGCAGCGACGCCGCGUGAGGGAAGACGGUCUUCGGAUUGUAAACCUCUGUCUUUGGGGACGAAAAAAUGACGGUACCUAAGGAGGAAGCCACGGCUAACUAC
Molecule: ribosomal RNA, 259 nt
Filed under: uncultured bacterium
Lineage: Bacteria
Description: partial 16S ribosomal RNA
Rfam family: Bacterial small subunit ribosomal RNA
Source: RNAcentral